Small nuclear RNA from Ailuropoda melanoleuca (giant panda), 173 nucleotides. Its record names the gene U1. It matches the Rfam family "U1 spliceosomal RNA". Rfam says of the family: U1 is a small nuclear RNA (snRNA) component of the spliceosome (involved in pre-mRNA splicing). The record is from Ensembl. NCBI's taxonomy places the organism in Eukaryota, Metazoa, Chordata, Mammalia, Carnivora, Ursidae.
GUAUUUACCUGUCAGGGAAGAUACCACGAUCAUGAAGGUGGUCUUUCCAGGGUGAGGCUCACUCACUGCACUCCGGACGAGCGGACCCCUGUGAUUUCCCCAAAUGUGGGAAACUCGACUGCAAAAUUUGUGGUAGUGGGGGACUGAAAAAAAAGUUAAUUGACACACCCAUC